CAGUCGCCGCGGGAAUACGAAGGGUGCAAGCGUUACUCGGAAUUACUGGGCGUAAAGCGUGCGUAGGUGGUGGUUUAAGUCCGUUGUGAAAGCCCUGGGCUCAACCUGGGAAUUGCAGUGGAUACUGGAUCACUAGAGUGUGGUAGAGGAUAGUGGAAUUUCCGGUGUAGCAGUGAAAUGCGUAGAGAUCGGAAGGAACAUCUGUGGCGAAGGCGACUAUCUGGGCCAACACUGACUCUGAGGCACGAAAGCGUGGGGAGCAAACAGGAUUAGAUACCCGCGUAGUCCCUGUCUCUUAUAC
Molecule: ribosomal RNA, 301 nt
Filed under: uncultured bacterium
Lineage: Bacteria
Description: partial 16S ribosomal RNA
Rfam family: Bacterial small subunit ribosomal RNA
Source: RNAcentral